Molecule: unclassified non-coding RNA, 429 nt
Filed under: Hevea brasiliensis (rubber tree)
Lineage: Eukaryota; Viridiplantae; Streptophyta; Magnoliopsida; Malpighiales; Euphorbiaceae
Source: RNAcentral
AGAAAAAAGAAAAAAGAAAAAAAAGCAGUAGCCUUUAUGUCAUUGUUGCUAGUUUUAGACAUUAAGCAACAUCAGCAAUCAUUUCUGGAAGUUACUGUUUGUAUUGUUGACAUCAUAUAUAAGAUGCAGGUUAUUUCAGCUGACCAGAAUAAAAUGAAAAGCAUAGGUUUAAAAAGAUAUACAUUUGUAGAACAAGAAAAAAAAAACCAAAGGAUUAAUACAAACAAAUUUGCAAGAUACAAAAGAAGAGAAAUAAAAAAAUUCUCAAUAUUUUUAUUAAUUCCAAUGAUAAUCAUAAUAAUAAUAAUCUUUGAAUAUGUAAAUAUCCUAGACCCAAAUUAUGGAUCUAUACAACUCUAAUCACAUUAGGAUUACCAACCCUGUUCAAUUCUAAUUAUGAAAAACUUCCUAAAUAAUAAUAAUAAUAAU